AGUAUUCAUAGAAUAUAACUGCACUCGAUGCACUAUGACAUCUGAGAAGGUGAGUGUGUUCAUUUAUGUACACAAGAGCCAAUUAUAACAGCAACAAUUGACAUAGGAAAUCAUAUUUUAAUUUAAGUACUGAGUACAAAAUAGAUCCUAUUUUUUCCUUUUCAUUGAAUUAAAUGAGAAGAAGAACUUUUUAUUUUAUUUUGUAGUUUAUUUAAACAAUUUUUUUUUUUGUUGUUGUUUUUGCCAUAACAUUUAAAGGGUUGCAAAUUUAGCUUAAAUUAAGCUGUCAUUCUUAGUUUCAUUGUCAAUUUUAAGGAAUGUAAAAAAAUCUAUAUAAAUAUAAAAAUUCUGGGCUGGGGAAAAUUCAUACAGUUGUCACGCUACGCUGCCGGAAGGUACACGGAGCCGAGAAUAAUUGAAAGAGUCUUUAUUAAUCCAACACAUUGGUAACUCCAACAUGGAGAACAGGAGGAAGACACACGUACUUAACUUGUAGACCCGACAAAACUGAACUGAAAGGACUAAAGGCAGGAUAAUUGCGGAAGAAUGAGAUACACCUGGGAUCAAAUUAACACAAUCAAAUAGAAGACAAAACUGGAUCACAGGGGCAAAAACACACAAUCCAUAAUCCUGACAACGGUUAAAUUGUUGCACACAAAAUUAGGGACAUUAUGCUAAAAAUACUUUAGAAUUCUUGCUAUAAUUAAAUUACAAAUAGUUUAAUUCUAUUCAACAGAAUGGUAAUAGAUUUUUUUGUAAAAAUUAUGACUUUACUGUUUGAUAUUUUAGGUGCAUUCAGGAGUUAGGCCUAUUUAAACUACUGUUGUAUACCAAUGCUACAAUGCUGUUAAAAGCUGUAGACCAGUGCUUUCCAAACCUGUCCUGGAGGCCCCCUUGCCCUGCUCUUUUUGUAUGUCUCCCUUAUCUUCACACCUGAUUCCAUUCAUCAGCUCAUUAGUAGAGACUGCAAGAACUAAAUUGGGUGUGUCUGAUUAGGGAGACAUACAAAAUGUGCAGGGCAGGGGGGCCUCCAGGACAUGUUUGGGAAGCACUGCUGUAGGCAAUCUAUGGACGAGAAUUGACGUUUUAUUUAAAUUACAUUUAGGACUUUUCUGCUUAUUCGGCCAUAAAUGUACUGAUUCUCCCGUUGUCUCCGCUGAGGCGGCAUCUAAUGAGCGUCGACAGGAUUCUGGCGUUUAGCAAAACACUGCGAUCACGUCAUUUCAAGCAUUGCGGAAAUGCAAAUUAACAAAAUUAAUCCCUUUUACAGAAAACUAGUUUUCAUCUCAUGUGAGUGUACACAAGAUCACUCUUAACGAAAUCACAAUGUUUUUAAUGUGAAAAACUUUUUAAGUGCACUGAUUGGACUUUUAAUUGUAGACACAAUUGAGAUCUCUCCAGAAAGGCAAAAAUCACAAUUAAACAACCUAGUUAGAAUAGUUUAUCUAGUUCAUUUAUUACAUUUAUUAGUUCUCACAAAAAAAAAAAA
Molecule: long non-coding RNA, 1489 nt
Organism: Cyprinus carpio (common carp)
Lineage: Eukaryota; Metazoa; Chordata; Actinopteri; Cypriniformes; Cyprinidae
Source: Ensembl